RNAcentral lists this long non-coding RNA (1395 nucleotides) under Felis catus (domestic cat). RNAcentral's name for it is "lncRNA (ENSFCAG00000049047.1)". Lineage: Eukaryota; Metazoa; Chordata; Mammalia; Carnivora; Felidae. The record is from RNAcentral.
AUGCCGCCGGCUCUGAUCUGCUCCUGUGCUACCCUCAGACUUCACGUAGUCUCUUUUGACUCUCCGCCUUCAGCACAACACACACAUAUGUGCACACACCCACAGACACGCACACACAGUUGCACACACAUGCUCACACACACACAUGCUCACACACACGCACACAGCCACAUACAUGCACACACACAAAGUUACACACACAUGCUCACACACGCAGUUACACAUGCUCACACACUCAUGCAGAUACACUUACACACAUGCUCUCACACACACCCACACACAUGCACACACGCAGAUACACUUACACAUGCACACGUACUCCCGCAGAUACACUCACGCACACACGCUCACACACUCAUGCAGAUACACAUACGCUCACCACACACAGUGUUCACAAACUCACGCAGAUACACUCACACAUACAUGCCCACACACACGCUCAAAGUCAUGCAGAUACACUCACACACAUGUUCAUAUGCUCACACAGACACACACAUGCACACACACACAGAUACACUCAUGCACACAUGCUCACACACUCCCGUAGACACACACACAGUGCUCACAUACUCACGCAGAUACACACACACACACACACAUGCUCACACACUCACAGACACACGUGCACACACAGAUACACUCAUGCACACAUGCUCACACACUCAUGCAGAUACACUCACACACAUGCUCACACACACACAUGCUCACACACACGCACACAGCCACAUACAUGCACACACACACAGAUACACUCAUGCACACAUGCUCACACACUCAUGCAGAUACACAUACGCUCACCACACACAGUGUUCACAAACUCACGCAGAUACACUCACACACAUGCUCACACACUCAUGCAGAUACACAUACGCUCACCACACACAGUGUUCACAAACUCACGCAGAUACACUCACGCACACACGCUCACACACUCAUGCAGAUACACUCACACACAUGCUCACACACUCAUGCAGAUACACUCACACACAUGCUCACACACUCAUGCAGAUACACAUACGCUCACCACACACAGUGUUCACAAACUCACGCAGAUACACUCACACAUACAUGCCCACACACACGCUCAAAGUCAUGCAGAUACACUCACACACAUGUUCAUAUGCUCACACAGACACACACAUGCACACACACACAGAUACACUCAUGCACACAUGCUCACACACUCCCGUAGACACACACACAGUGCUCACAUACUCACGCAGAUACACACACACACACACACACACACAUGCUCACACACUCACAGACACACGUGCACACACAGAUACACUCACACACAUGCUCACAUAUGCACUCACACACAUACACACACAUUCACGCAUGCACACUUGCACAUACACAGACUCUCAUGCACAUCUGUCGCCUCCAUUUUAA